ACGAACGCUGGCGGCGUGCUUAACACAUGCAAGUCGAACGAUGAAGCCCUUCGGGGUGGAUUAGUGGCGAACGGGUGAGUAACACGUGGGCAAUCUGCCCUUCACUCUGGGACAAGCCCUGGAAACGGGGUCUAAUACCGGAUACCACUCCUGCCUGCAUGGGUAGGGGUUGAAAGCUCCGGCGGUGAAGGAUGAGCCCGCGGCCUAUCAGCUUGUUAGUGGGGUAAUGGCCCACCAAGGCGACGACGGGUAGCCG
Molecule: ribosomal RNA, 256 nt
Filed under: Streptomyces sp. ISO484_OTU4111
Lineage: Bacteria; Bacillati; Actinomycetota; Actinomycetes; Kitasatosporales; Streptomycetaceae
Description: partial 16S ribosomal RNA
Rfam family: Bacterial small subunit ribosomal RNA
Source: RNAcentral